AUUGAACGCUGGCGGCAGGCCUAACACAUGCAAGUCGAGCGGAUGAAGGGAGCUUGCUCCUGGAUUCAGCGGCGGACGGGUGAGUAAUGCCUAGGAAUCUGCCUGGUAGUGGGGGAUAACGUCCGGAAACGGGCGCUAAUACCGCAUACGUCCUGAGGGAGAAAGUGGGGGAUCUUCGGACCUCACGCUACCAGAUGAGCCUAGGUCGGAUUAGCUAGUUGGUGGGGUAAAGGCCUACCAAGGCGACGAUCCGUAACUGGUCUGAGAGGAUGAUCAGUCACACUGGAACUGAGACACGGUCCAGGCUCCUACGGGAGGCAGCAGUGGGGAAUAUUGGACAAUGGGCGAAAGCCUGAUCCAGCCAUGCCGCGUGUGUGAAGAAGGUCUUCGGAUUGUAAAGCACUUUAAGUUGUGAGGAAGGGCAGUAAGUUAAUACCUUGCUGUUUUGACGUUACCAACAGAAUAAGCACCGGCUAACUUCGUG
Molecule: ribosomal RNA, 484 nt
Filed under: uncultured bacterium
Lineage: Bacteria
Description: partial 16S ribosomal RNA
Rfam family: Bacterial small subunit ribosomal RNA
Source: RNAcentral